GUUUCUGGAAGCUCAAUUGGUUGAGCGCAGACUUGAAAUCUGAAGUGCAGGUUCGAUUCCUGCCCAGGACCACCA
This 75-nucleotide transfer RNA is filed under the name Phycisphaerae bacterium. RNAcentral's name for it is "tRNA-Ser". It matches the Rfam family "tRNA". Rfam says of the family: Transfer RNA (tRNA) molecules are approximately 80 nucleotides in length. The record is from RNAcentral. Lineage: Bacteria; Pseudomonadati; Planctomycetota; Phycisphaerae.